This 254-nucleotide ribosomal RNA is filed under the name uncultured bacterium. RNAcentral's name for it is "partial 16S ribosomal RNA". It matches the Rfam family "Bacterial small subunit ribosomal RNA", at positions 524 to 776 of the family's 1533-position model. The record is from RNAcentral.
GACAGAGGGUGCAAACGUUGCUCGGAAUUACUGGGCGUAAAGGGCGUGUAGGCGGGAAGGCAAGUCGGGCGUGAAAGCCCCAGGCUCAACCUGGGAACUGCACUCGAAACUGCCUUUCUUGAGUGCCGGAGAGGAAAGCGGAAUUCCUGGUGUAGAGGUGAAAUUCGUAGAUAUCGAGGAGGAACACCAGUGGCGAAGGCGGCUUUCUGGACGGUAACUGACGCUGAGACGCGAAAGCGUGGGGAGCAAACAGG